AGGACGAACGCUGGCGGCGUGCUUAACACAUGCAAGUCGAGCGGUAAGGCCCUUUCGGGGGUACACGAGCGGCAACGGGUGAGUAACACGUGGGUGACCUGCCCUUAGCUCUGGGAUAAGCCUGGGAAACUGGGUCUAAUACCGGAUAUGACCUCGCGAUGCAUGUCGUGGGGUGGAAAGCCUUGUGCGGCUAGGGAUGGGCCCGCGGCCUAUCAGCUUGUUGGUGGGGUGAUGGCCUACCAAGGCGACGACGGGUAGCCGGCCUGAGAGGGCGACCGGCCACACUGGGACUGAGACACGGCCCAGACUCCUACGGGAGGCAGCAGUGGGGAAUCUUGCGCAAUGGGCGAAAGCCUGACGCAGCGACGCCGCGUGAGGGAUGACGGCCUUCGGGUUGUAAACCUCUUCAGCCCUGACGAAGCGAAGUGACGGUAGGGCAGAAGAGCACCGGCAACUACGUGCCAGCAGCCGCGGUAA
Molecule: ribosomal RNA, 477 nt
Filed under: uncultured bacterium
Lineage: Bacteria
Description: SSU rRNA
Rfam family: Bacterial small subunit ribosomal RNA
Source: RNAcentral